GAUCGCAGUCUGCAACCCGACUGCGUGAAGUCGGAAUCGCUAGUAAUCGCGGAUCAGCAUGCCGCGGUGAAUACGUUCCCGGGCCUUGUACACACCGCCCGUCACACCAUGAGAGUCGGGAACACCCGAAGUCCGUAGCCUAACCGCGAAGGGGGGCGCGGCCGAAGGUGGGUUCGAUAAUUGGGGUGAAGUCGUAACAAGGUAGC
RNAcentral lists this ribosomal RNA (206 nucleotides) under uncultured bacterium. Its description in RNAcentral is "partial 16S ribosomal RNA". It matches the Rfam family "Bacterial small subunit ribosomal RNA", at positions 1296 to 1500 of the family's 1533-position model. The record is from RNAcentral.